This 2186-nucleotide long non-coding RNA is filed under the name Homo sapiens (human). Its description in RNAcentral is "non-protein coding lnc-CHFR-3:5". Lineage: Eukaryota; Metazoa; Chordata; Mammalia; Primates; Hominidae. The record is from RNAcentral.
GUUCCCACAGCUCUCGGUGAGGGCUUCUUGAAGGUGCCGCCCUUUAGCAAGACCAGGGCCUUUUCUCUGGUCCCUGUCUCUUCUGGCCAUUUGCCUUCCCACGUCUAGGAAGCUACCUCGGUUUCUAGGAUUUACAUAUGUUUAACAUGCGCAUUCGCCCUCCUGCCGAGCACUUUGCUGACAGCACACACAAUGGUGGGGCCUUGAGGCUUGCCACAGACACACCUGGCAGGCGCCCGCUCAGCCCCACACUCUGCUUUGAUGCCCACAGAAGGAGCUCAACAGCUCGUGUGUGUUUGAAGGGCACAGAGAACAGAUGCCAAGUCCUCAGCUUUUCUUGUGCAACAGCCUGGGCUCGUUGCUGGGCUGUGUGCACUGUGGCCUGGCUUUCAUGUCUCAUUCACACCUGGGCUGUGUAGGUCUUGGCAGAACUUUUGAGAGACUCUGGUAACUGUUACACUGGAACCUUUUGGGACUUCCAGGAGGCUCUUGGACAAGACUUCUCGUGCUGCAGGCCGUGAACGUGCAGCCCUCUGCAAAUGCCACUUAUAAGGGUCUGAGCUUUGGCUUUGCACACUUUCAGGGGCCUUUUAUGAAAUGUUUUCUCUCGUUAUUUCAGUGUUUCUUCCUCUAAACGAGUAUUUCUUAUUCCUCUCUUUUUUUGCGUCACAGAAUUACCUGGCAACCAGAGGUUUGACAUGGAAAAACAUGUUGACCGAGAGCCUCGUGGCUCUCCAGCGGGGAGUGUUUCUGCUGUCUGAUUACAGAGUCACGGGAGACACCGUUCUGUGUUACUGCUGUGGCCUGCGCAGCUUCCGUGAGCUGACCUAUCAGUAUCGGCAGAACAUUCCUGCUUCCGAGUUGCCAGUGGCCGUAACAUCCCGUCCUGACUGCUACUGGGGCCGUAACUGCCGCACUCAGGUGAAAGCUCACCACGCCAUGAAAUUCAAUCAUAUCUGUGAACAGACAAGGUUCAAAAACUAAGCAUCCAGAGGCCCUGAGCAGCUUUCAGCACUGGAGGUGAAGAGAGCGUGUUUUUAAAAUACAGAGACAAGCACGUCAAGGUGUUUUCACAGCCCCCUGAGGGAAGGGACGCAGGGUCUCCGACAGGUGCUCUGGGGUGACUCUUCUGUGGAGCUUUACCCUCUGAGUGAGACCCUCCCCAGAGCCCCGGGGGCCGCAGCCCGCCCUCCUGGUGAGCGCUGGGCAGGGCUCGUGGUGGCAUCAGCAGCAGAGACGAAGCCUUUCUGUAACAUGCGGCCGUCCCGCCGAGAGGGGCAGUUUUGCUCUUUUGUACAUUUUCCGAAACUACAGUUAAAGCAGAAGUCUGUUUUUAGGAAAAGUUUCAAGGGAGAAGGGCAAGUUUAUCAAAAACAUUGUUUCAGGAGAAGGGAGCAUAAGUUUACAGCCUACAGGACGUACACAAUAUCCUGCUGCUGGGAAAACCACAGCAUUUUAUCUAUUUUUUAUUUUAAUAGGUUUGGUGCUUAUCUUCUAAUAAGAUUUAAAUGUCACAAACUGUAGCACAAAUAAUAUAAUUUAUAAUUUACAAAUUGACUAAAAUUGGGUAUAGUAUGGUAUUUGAAAGAAUAAGCAUAUGCUUCUGUUUAUUAAAAAAAGAAACCUUCCAAUGUCCAAAACUGCUAACCCUCGACGUGGCCGCCAAGUUAGUCGCUCCUUGCUAACCGGUGAGUGACCGCGGCCCCGAGCCUGGGGCUGGACGCAGGUCCCAGGACAUGCUGCUCCCUUGUGUGAGUGACCGCGGCCCCGAGCCUGGGGCUGGACGCAGGUCCCAGGACGUGCUGCUCCCUUGUGUGAGUGACCACGGCCCCAAGCCCAGGGCUGGAGGCAGGUCCCAGGACGCGCCGCUCCCUCAUGCUGCCCGGGCCCUUCCUCCAAGACCCUACAGAGCCUGAGGGGCACCUUGGCUUCCGCCUGUGCUAGCUUUGCCAUGUCAUCUGGAAUAAUACUUGAAAUUUUGAUUUUUGGAAAAAAAAGUUUUUUAUCUUUUGUUGAAAUCACCUGUUAUCCUUGUUUGUAAACUGAUAACUUUUUUGCUUCUUCUCAGGAAUACAGUUUUCAACUGUUGUCUUGCUCUUGAUAGAAACUGAGAAGCAGCAAUCUGUAUUUGUGGAGGAAAGUCCUCUCUUUUGCAUAUUCUAAUAAAUGAGCCGCGUUUGCUCCUC